RNAcentral lists this ribosomal RNA (253 nucleotides) under uncultured bacterium. RNAcentral describes it as "partial 16S ribosomal RNA". It matches the Rfam family "Bacterial small subunit ribosomal RNA", at positions 524 to 776 of the family's 1533-position model. The record is from RNAcentral.
UACGAAGGGGGCUAGCGUUGCUCGGAAUUACUGGGCGUAAAGGGCGCGUAGGCGGACAGUUUAGUCAGAAGUGAAAGCCCAGGGCUCAACCUUGGAAUUGCCUUUGAUACUGGCUGUCUUGAGUUCGGGAGAGGUGAGUGGAAUGCCGAGUGUAGAGGUGAAAUUCGUAGAUAUUCGGCGGAACACCAGUGGCGAAGGCGACUCACUGGCCCGAUACUGACGCUGAGGCGCGAAAGCGUGGGGAGCAAACAGG